Gadus morhua (Atlantic cod) is the source of this 1101-nucleotide long non-coding RNA. RefSeq lists it as uncharacterized. The transcript has 4 exons. The record is from RefSeq and is a predicted model, not a curated record. Lineage: Eukaryota; Metazoa; Chordata; Actinopteri; Gadiformes; Gadidae.
ACUAGUUUAAAAAGAGAUACCAUUUUGACUAAAGGUAAUGACUAAAAGUUGACUAAGAUAUAUGGACUUUUCAUCGACUAAAACUAGACUAAAACUACAAAGGAAAACAAUGACUAAAAUGUGACUAAAUAUAAUAAGCAUUUUCGUCAAAAGACUAAGACUAAAGCUAAAAUAGCUGACAAAAUUAACAGUGUAUCCAAAAAGCGGGAGCUCGCGUGGGAAAAAAUAGCUGACCGAGUCAAUGCGUGAGUAUUUAUUUGAGAUUUAUUUGAGAAGUUUUGUCUUGAAUUUUCACUUAUUCAACAAUUAUAUUCCAUAUGUGUGUUUGUGCGCACAGGUGCAACCCAACAGGCCCCAAACUGACUUGUCAGCAACUAAAAAUGAUAUAUAAAUGUAGUUCAAACAGCCUACAGAAAAAAGGCAGAGGCACGCAAAACAGGUGGCGGUCCACCACCACCACCUCUCACAGAGGCUGAAGAGGUGGCAUCUCUGGGGGGAGCUCAUCGGACCCAGCCAGGACACAGGGGCCUACAUAAGAGUUACUGAUGAUGGUGUAAUCUGUCUCGUGGAGCCUUCUGCCAUAACACACCUCCAUGCUGUUGAUGAUGAUGAAGACACCUUAUCAGCUGCCACAGAGAGGGAAGUAAUAACUUUGGUUUCAGUUAAUUGCUCCACAAUACAACUUGCAACUGCUUUCUCUCUAACAGAGCAAUGCCGGAAGUUACAAUGAGGAAGAAGGUCCAUCAACCUCAACAGCACAGCUUACCUCAGUAAGAUGUUGUUCAGCGUUGACCCACAACUUACAAUGACACUAAGUAGACAUGGCACUGUGAAAUUCAACCUCAUUUAUGUUUCUAUUGCUCCCUGUGAAACAAAUUACAAAGUAUAUUUAGAAUCCCAAAUAAACAAAUCACACCUAGAAAUGGAGCACAUAAGGCUGCAGAUCACCAAAACAAAAAAGGAAAUACAACUGCUGGACCAUCAGUUAAAGGUGGGUGACGUGCCCACAGGGGGAUGUUUUUUAAUUGUUUCAACAACAAAGGAUUAACAACUGUACAACAUUUGCCCUUCUAGGAAAUAAAGAAGACCCCAUAAAAUGAG